GUAGCGGCGAGUGAAGCGGCAAGAGCUCAGAUUUGAAAUCGUGCUAAUUUUUUUGGCACGAGUUGUAGAGUGUAGGCGGGAGUCUUUGUGGAGCACGGUGUCCAAGUCCCUUGGAACAGGGCGCCUGAGAGGGUGAGAGCCCCGUGGGGUGCCGUGCGAAGCUCUGAGGCCCUGCUGACGAGUCGAGUUGUUUGGGAAUGCAGCUCCAAGUGGGUGGUAAAUUCCAUCUAAGGCUAAAUACUGGCGAGAGACCGAUAGCGAACAAGUACUGUGAAGGAAAGAUGAAAAGCACUUUGAAAAGAGAGUGAAACAGCACGUGAAAUUGUUGAAAGGGAAGGGUAUUGGGCCCGACAUGGGGAGUGCGCACCGCUGUCUCUUGUAGGCGGCGCUCUGGGCGCUCUCUGGGCCAGCAUCGGUUCUUGCUGCGGGAGAAUGGGUGCCGGAAAGUGGCUCUUCGGAGUGUUAUAGCCGGCGCCAGAUACCGCGUGCGGGGACCGAGGACUGCGGCUUCUGUCUCGGAUGCUGGCACAACGGCGCAAUACCGCCCGUCUUGAAC
Molecule: ribosomal RNA, 556 nt
Filed under: Pichia membranifaciens
Lineage: Eukaryota; Fungi; Ascomycota; Pichiomycetes; Pichiales; Pichiaceae
Description: partial large subunit ribosomal RNA
Rfam family: Eukaryotic large subunit ribosomal RNA
Source: RNAcentral